Molecule: ribosomal RNA, 495 nt
Filed under: uncultured bacterium
Lineage: Bacteria
Description: partial 16S ribosomal RNA
Rfam family: Bacterial small subunit ribosomal RNA
Source: RNAcentral
GAUGAACGCUGGCGGCGUGCCUAAUACAUGCAAGUAGAACGCUGAAGGAGGAGCUUGCUCUUCUGGAUGAGUUGCGAACGGGUGAGUAACGCGUAGGUAACCUGCCUGGUAGCGGGGGAUAACUAUUGGAAACGAUAGCUAAUACCGCAUGACAACAGUUAUUGCAUGAUAACUGUUUAAAAGGGGCAACUGCUCCACUACCAGAUGGACCUGCGUUGUAUUAGCUAGUUGGUGAGGUAACGGCUCACCAAGGCGACGAUACAUAGCCGGCCUGAGAGGGUGAACGGCCACCAUGGGACUGAGACCCGGCCCAGACCCCCACGGGAGGGAGCAGUAGGGAAUCUUCGGCCAAGGACGGAAGGCUGACCGAGCAACGCCGCGUGAGUGAAGAAGGUUUUCGGAUCGUAAAGCUCUGUUGUAAGGGAAGAAAGAGUGUGAGAGUGGAACGUUCACGCUGUGACGGUAUCUUACCAGAAAGGGACGGCUAACUACGUG